UAGGCUAUAGUUUAAUAAAAUUUUUGAUUUGCACUCAAAAGAUGUCCUCCUGGACUAGCUUAA
Molecule: transfer RNA, 63 nt
Filed under: Coenobita brevimanus
Lineage: Eukaryota; Metazoa; Arthropoda; Malacostraca; Decapoda; Coenobitidae
Description: tRNA-Ala
Rfam family: tRNA
About the family: Transfer RNA (tRNA) molecules are approximately 80 nucleotides in length. Their secondary structure includes four short double-helical elements and three loops (D, anti-codon, and T loops).
Source: RNAcentral